GGGGUUGUGGCUCAGUGGUAGAGUGCUCGCCUCGCAUGUGUGAAGCACUGGGUUUGAUCCUCAGCACCACA
This 71-nucleotide transfer RNA is filed under the name Marmota monax (woodchuck). Its description in RNAcentral is "tRNA.Ala". It matches the Rfam family "tRNA". From Rfam's summary of the family: Transfer RNA (tRNA) molecules are approximately 80 nucleotides in length. Lineage: Eukaryota; Metazoa; Chordata; Mammalia; Rodentia; Sciuridae. The record is from RNAcentral.